ACGGUGGACAGAUUUGCCUGCUUGCAACCACCUUCAAAAAAAUGCUAAAAU
Molecule: non-coding RNA, 51 nt
Filed under: bovine gut metagenome
Source: RNAcentral